Molecule: long non-coding RNA, 2677 nt
Organism: Platichthys flesus (European flounder)
Lineage: Eukaryota; Metazoa; Chordata; Actinopteri; Pleuronectiformes; Pleuronectidae
Exons: 5
Source: RefSeq, a predicted model, not a curated record
UGAAACAGACCAAGUAUCAGGCAGAGGAGGACGACAACAUCACUCUGGAAUGGACGUUCACAACCAGAAGUGACAAAUCUCCUAACCUACUUAUGAUCUUGUGUAAACUAAUAACAGACCUCAGAGUGUCCUUCAUGUAUUGACUACAUCACAGUGUUGAGGUUCCAGAGUCUCAAGAUGAACAGUUUUCAGGACGAGUCCAGUGUGACAGAGACGUCCUCAGAGAAGAAGGACGACUCAGACUUCAUGUGUCCAGACUCAGGACUGAAGACUCAGGCCGGUACAAAUGUGUUGUGAGGACAGAAUCUGACCUGAGUGCAGAUCAAUGCUGGCUCAAUGUCACUGCCUCUGUUGCUCAGGAACAACAUACGACUCCAACUGUGAACCCAGAGCCACAGGAUCAGGAAAGGUUCUACAUCGCACUUGGUGCAAAAAGAGAAGAUGUUAUGAGAGAAGAUGAAUCGUUGUUUGGGUUUCGUCUCUUUAGAGUUCAGAGUUUUCCUAAAGUAGAAUUCUGUUACUGGUUUUGUUCUUUGUAACUUCGACAGUUUCCUUGAUCUUGGUCUUCAGCGUUUGUCUUCAAUGAAAAACACAAACCCUUAGUGUUGCUGCUUGCCCAGGAGAAGACGCCCUGCCACUGCAGACACACACAGCUCCAACUGAGACAGCGGGACGAAAAACUUCAACGCAGGUAAACUGAGUGUGUAGCAGAGUGCACUUUAUUUGACGUAUUUCUCUAUGUCCUUCUUUUGUACUUCUGUCCACCUGUUCUAUGAGUCUUAACUCUUCUGUUGUUUCGGAUCCAUUUACAAGUUUUAUCCAACCCAAUGUGGGAGGAGGCCGGAGCAGGAUCACAGUCCAACAGGGUAAAGAGACGUAGUGUCAGAGAGAAGUCCACACUUUGAAGUAUUUCUCUAUGUCAAAUUUCUUUUGUACUUCUGUCCACCUGGAGUAACGUGUAGGUGUGUGUGUGACAAAACAAAGUAUUAAAAAAAAGCUCAGAUAAACAACAGUUCAGAUAUCUGAACUCAUUUGGCAGCAAGGUGAGAAAGAGCCUCAGUUCGUGACUGAGAACAUGAAGCACCUGGGGUAAGAACUAAAAAGGCAAACUCCUCUUCUGGCGUUGAGAAAGGAGUCAGCCGCCUUCUCCUAGUGGUUUUACCCACGUUUAAAAAACCUGUGUAUACCAACUAAUUCUGGUUAAAGGUAUAACUGAGCUCAUGAGUCUUCACCUCUGUGUCCUCUCACAGAGAGAAGAUGAUCCAGAUCCUGCUGCUCAUCAUCCUGAUCUCCUGUGUCUGUGCAGGAACAUUAGUUGUGAAUGUGACACAGACCCACUAUCAGGCAGAGGAGAACGACAAUGUCACUCUGGAAUGGACGUUCACAUCCACCAAAUUAGUCUUUAUCAUCUGUAAACUAAUAACAGACCUCAGAGUCUCUAUCGUGUAUCAUCUACAUGAAGGGGUUGAGAUACCGGAGUCUCAGGAUGAACAGUUUUCAGGACGAGUCCAGUGGGACAGAGACGUCCUCAGAGAAGAAGGACGACUCAGACUUCAUGUGUCCAGACUCAGGACUGAAGACUCAGGCCGGUACAAGUGUGUAGUGAGGACAGAAUCUGACCUGAGUGCAGAUCAAUGCUGGCUCCAUGUCACUGCCUCUGUUGCUCAGGAACAACGUAUGACUCCAACUGAGAACCCAGAACUUAAUGGUCAGGAAAGGUUCUACGUCUUCUAUUGUAUAGUAAUAAUAUACGUCGUAAUCUUUAUAGCAAUAAUAGUAUGUAUAAUAGCACCACCAGAAUCAGCAAUAAUCAAAGUAGUUUAUCCAGUGAUAAAAGUAUUACACAUCCUAACAUUAAUAUAUUCAUAUUUAUUCCUGCUACUGCUUUUACCAGUAAUAGUAAUAGGACAGGGAAUACAAGUAGUAGUAAAUAAACUAGCAUUAGAAAUUUGGCAUAUGUGCUGUAGAAGGACAUUUACGUCAGUGUCUCAGGUUGAGAUUCUAUAAGCAGAUAAAAUUUCCUGUAUAAAAUGUAUUCACAAAUAUGCAAAAUAGUAAUUUCCUUUUUUUUAACAUGUUGCUGCAUUUUGUUGUUUUAUUUAUACAAAUGUUAUCUUACCAAUACAAAUAUCCAAGUACACUAAAUAUAUCUCUACAUCUGUCUUUACACUUUUUUUGAAACGGGUCAAAUAAAACACACAAUCUCAACUUCUCAUUCAUUCAGAGUUAAUCUGAGUGUUUUACAGCUAUUGACUAAUAAACAUUUCCUGGGAUUAUUUCCCUUUUUUAAAUCUUACUUUAUAAAUCAGUGUAACACUGAAAAAAACACUUUAGUUACACUAAAAAAUGAAAUAGUAUUUAAAUUAAACUUGCUGAUAGCACUUUGUAGUUUGUCUUUCUUGAAGAAAAUGGUACUUUCUGCAUUCUUGUUGUUCCCUCAUGGUAGAUGCACUUAUUGUGAGUCGCUUUUGAUAAAAGCUUCAGCUAAAUGAAAUGUAACGUAAAUACAUGAGCUGAGCUACUUUUUACAUUUUAAAACAAAUUCAGAGUACAAACUCUGGACUUUAACAACAUUUAAUAGAAUUUAUUUGUAUGUAUGUAACCAGCUUGUAUUACCAGGACAAAAAUGUUCAAAAUGCAAUGCACUGGAGCUGUUCAAGUCAAAUAAAGUUAUAUU